CAGCCGCCACGGGAAUACGUAGGGUGCGAGCGUUAAUCGGAAUUACUGGGCGUAAAGCGUGCGCAGGCGGUUGUGUAAGACAGGUGUGAAAUCCCCGGGCUUAACCUGGGAACUGCGCUUGUGACUGCACAGCUAGAGUAUGGCAGAGGGGGGUGGAAUUCCACGUGUAGCAGUGAAAUGCGUAGAGAUGUGGAGGAAUACCGAUGGCGAAGGCAGCCCCCUGGGCCAAUACUGACGCUCAUGCACGAAAGCGUGGGGAGCAAACAGGAUUAGAUACCCGCGUAGUCCCUGUCUCUUAUAC
RNAcentral lists this ribosomal RNA (301 nucleotides) under uncultured bacterium. RNAcentral describes it as "partial 16S ribosomal RNA". It matches the Rfam family "Bacterial small subunit ribosomal RNA", at positions 509 to 807 of the family's 1533-position model. The record is from RNAcentral.